This is an RNA transcript of Populus trichocarpa (black cottonwood), 5838 nucleotides long. RefSeq lists it as uncharacterized. NCBI's taxonomy places the organism in Eukaryota, Viridiplantae, Streptophyta, Magnoliopsida, Malpighiales, Salicaceae. The record is from RefSeq and is a predicted model, not a curated record. The transcript is spliced from 8 exons.
CUCGGUUGACUUAUGGUUCAAAACAACAGUCUUUGAAGUUUCUUUUUCAAAUGCUUACGUAGCAAAUUGAGACCAAGUCUUGUUUUCUCUCUUUCAGACUCUUAAACUAGCUGUAGUGUACAUUCUUGCACCUCCAGCAUCUAAAUCUUGCCUGCAAAAUUCUUUGGCAGCAGCCAUGGAUGUCCGAAACAAUCCAUGGAUCAUGUUUUUGGUUAUCUUUUUUUGUUUUCCUCUCAACUCCCAUGUCUCCCUUGGAGCUGAUACAAUCUCUGCAAACAGUUCUCUCUCUGGAGACCAAACUAUUGUCUCAGCACGAAAAGUCUUUGAACUUGGUUUCUUCCAUCCAGGCGUCCAUGCAGGAAGUGUAAAAAUUUAAAGUUUCUGCAUCAAGAUGUUGUAACGAUGCAUCUUCUAACCAAAGGGUUCAUGGAGGAUUACCUGUGUUGGUAUGCACACGGAGAACUAUUUGUUCCUAAUGAGAGCAUGGAAGAACAGGUGGUUGGGUCAAGUUCUAGUGCUAGCAACAUGCAUGAAGUUGGAAAUGAGAACAGUAAUCCUUACAGGAAUAUGGUUAUGGAUGCAAUGAGAAUGAGUGAAGGUAAUGUCAGGGAAUGUCCAAUCGUAGAACAAGAACCUAAUGCAAGUGCAGCAAGGUUUUUUAAUCUGUUGAAAGAUUCUGACGAACCAUUAUGGGAUGGUUGCACGAACCACAGUAAAUUAUCAGCCGUAGCACAGGUGUUCACCAUCAAGUCAGAUCACGGGUUGAGUGAGGCCGGUUAUGACAAGAUUAUUGAAUAGGCGAGAAGCAUUUUACCUGAAGGGAACAGGUUGAAAGAGAACUUCUAUGCUGCCAAGUCCAUGAUGAAACCCCUCGGUUUAGGAUACCAGAAAAUUGAUAUAUGCCCUAACUUCUGCAUGUUAUACUACCUUGAAAAUGCCGAGAUGACCGAGUGCAUGACAUGCGGGCAUUCCCGUUACAAACCCAGAACUGGUAGAGGGAAGACUCUCGUGGCAUAUAAAAAACUUAGAUACUUCCUAAUCACACCUAGAUUGCAGAGGUUAUUCAUGUCACCAAGGACUGUUGAGCACAUGACAUGGCACCAAUCACACCAUGCGGUUGAUGGAGUGAUGGUUCAUCCUUCUGACGGUGAAGCAUGGAAACAUUUUAAUAGUGUGCAUCCUCACUUUUCAGCUGAAUCAAGAAACGUGCGUCUUGGGUUGUGUACAGACGGAUUCAACCCAUUCGGGUCAUUUGCUGCUCCUUAUUCUUGUUGGCCGGUCAUACUGACGGUUAAUAACUUGCCACCGAGGAUGUGUAUGAGGCUAGAGUUCAUGUUUUUAUCUAUGGUCAUACCAGGUCCGAGCAGUCCGGGGCGGAAUAUAGAUGUUUGUCUUCGUCCGUUGAUUGAUGAGUAGACGCAGUUGUGGUCCUCUAGAGCUUUGACUUAUGACAUAUCGAGGAAACAGAAUUUUGUUAUGAGAGCGGCUUUGAUGUGGACUAUCAAUGAUUUCCCAGCUUAUGGAAUGGUUUCUGGUUGGAGCACGCAUGGAAAGCUAGCAUGUCCAUACUGUAUGCAGCACAACAAGACAUUCACGCUAACAAACGGUGAGUUGAAAAGGAUGUUGCACCCCCGCGUCUUUCCGGUGAAGAAUUGUUUGAUGUUGUGUUAAAGUACGGUGACAUUAUGUUUGGUCUCCAAUCAGGUAAGCAGAAGUUUCCUAGUUUUGGUUUGACCCAUAAUUGAGUGAAGCGAAGUAUCUUUUGGGAGCUUCCUUAUUGGAAGACCAAUAUUCUCCGCCAUAACCUUGAUGUCAUGCACAUUGAAAAGAACGUGUUUGAUAACAUUUUUAACACCGUCAUGGAUGUGAAGGGGAAGACAAAGGACAACAUUAAGUCUAGAUUUGAUGUAGCGCUGUUCUGUAACAGUAAAAAUAUGGAGUUGGUUCGUGAUGGGUCACGGGUCGCAAAACCAAGAGCGUACUAUUUAUGUUCGACUUAAACUUUGUCAAGAGUGUACUAUUUAUGUUUUGUGAUACCAUACACUCAUAUAAUUUGGAACAACCUUGCAGGCAACAUCGACGAUACUUACUGUCCAAUAACUCACAGCUGAUCGAAUCCCAGAUCUUUCAAUUACAAGAUGAACAAUUUGCCACAUGGUUUAGAGCACAUGUUUAUCAAAUGGGAGGUAGUGCUGCUAUUUCACUGUCUUUACUAAGCCUGGGCCCUAAAAGAAAAGUCAAGUGCUAUAACAGGUAUUUUGUCAAUGGAUAUGUCUUUCAUACUGAAGAAUACGGGCAUGGAAGAAAGACAUACAACAACGGUGUUUGUAUUAAGGGAUCAACUUCUAGUGAGUUUGAAGUUAACUACUACGGUAGAUUGGAAGAGGUCAUCGAACUGCAAUAUCAUAGCGAGCAGAAUAGAGUAUUUUGAUUCAAAUGCUAUUGGUAUGACACAACUAACAGAGGAAUCAGAGUAGAUCCUCAAUAUGGUCUCGUUGAAAUCAACUCAAAAGCUAGACACCAUAACGUAAACGAUGUCUUUGUUUUCGCAAAGCAAUGCCAACAAGUUUAUUACACAUACACCCUUUCCUUUAGAAAGGACCGAUCAAGAGUUUAUUGGUUAUCCGUUUUAAAAACAAAACCCAAGGGUCGUGUCGAGGUUGUUCAGGAUGAGAACGAAGACACUAGUGUGAUAGAUGAAGUCUUUCAAGCUAGUGAGUUGGUUGAACCAUACCGAGUUGCUCCUUCGAUUGACUUAGAAGAAAAUUUGAAUUUUCAUGUUUUCAAUGAUAGUCUUGUUGAUGUUGACGUAGAGGAGUUGAAUGCUAUUUUGAGCUCUACUAGUGGACAAAAGAAUGUUGUUGAAGAAUAUGAUAACGAAAUUGAAAAGUGCGAUGAAGCUGAUGAUAACAAUUUAAUUGAGGACGAAGAUGAAAAUUCCGACUAACUAAACAUGUUCUAAAGCUUUAUUUUUAUAAUGUAAUAAUUUGGAACAUGAAAUAUUUAUUCUUCUUUAAUGGUCAGCUCUUGUUAUUGUGCUGCGUGUGCUGUAAGAGUGCAAUUCAAGAUUUUGUGACAGGGUUACACAAAAAAACAAGAAAAAUUUACGGUUUCACUGACGGGUACACCGACGGACUAUAACCCAUCGGUAUUUCACAGAGAGUUGAAAAACAUUUACGGGAUUGUGCCACACUCACCGACGGCGUCACCGACGGCUUAUAACCCGUCGGUAUUUCACAGAGAGUUGAAAAAAAUUUACGGGAUUGUGCCACAAUCAUCGACGGAAUCACUGACGGUGUUACCGACGUAUAUUACCGAUGGAUUACCCAGAUCCCGAAGCGCACGCAUGUCAGACGUGUGUCCAUCGACACAAGUACCGACGGAUUUUCCGACAGAUCGAAAAGUCUAGCGGGAUUUUCGAACUUUUUUGGUGCGCAUAUAAAUUAAUUUCCGAUAGUAUUACUUACGGAAUUUAAUGCCACCGACAACAAUUAAUGUCCGUCGGUAAUUCCGUUGGAAAAAUUGCCAUAUAAAACACCCCCUUCCCCCCAUUUGGUUCAUUUUUUUCUCUCGGCUCCGUUUCUCUUCUUCUCCAUUUCUCUUCUCCUCUCCAUUUUUAUUUGGCUUUUUGAAGAGAUUUUAUUAUUUUGGUGGUAGUUUUAAAAGGUAUGUAUUCUUUUUUCUUUAUCUUUGUAUUUUUUUAUUUUAAUUAUGAUUAUUUUUUUUGGUGUUCUUUGUUUUGUGUAUUGUUUGUAGAUAAAAUCUUAAAUUCAACACACUAUUAAGGUAAGCAUUUUUUAUUCCCAAAUUUAUUUUGAAUUGAUAUAGUGUUUUUUAGUUUUGUGUAUUGUUUGUUUUGUGUUUAGGUUGUCUUGUAUAUUGUUUUUUAGUUUUUUAAUUUUAUUUAUUAAUUUUAUGAUAUUAUUGUUUGUAUUGCUAUAAUUAUUAUUGUUGAAUUUAUGUUAAAAAUGUUAAUUUAUAUAUAGAAUUACAUUUAAUUAGUUUAUCUUAAUUUAGGAUAUUAUUAUUUGUAUUGCUAUAAUUGUUAUUGUUGAAUUUAUGUUUUAAAUGUUAAUUGAAAUAUAGAAUUAAAUUUAAUUAGUUUAUCUUAAUUUUAGGAUAUUAUUGUUUACUUGUCAUUGUUAUUGCUUGUAACUCUAAGUACCAAUUUAACAAUGAAUGUUCAUAGUUGAAAUUGAUUCUUUUACUUGGAUUUUGUUAUAUGAUGUUAUUGAAUAAGAUGUUUUGUAUUGAUGAUGAUGAGUUGGGUUGAGAUCCAGGAUGAUUGGAUCGGGAUGUGAAAUAAAAUUGGAAGUGUAAUAUGAUUUUGUCGAUAACUUGGGACCCCCCAGUAUAGGGGAGACUCUGUCGAUUUUUUUUUAAAUAAUCGAAGUUAAUUAUGUAAUUAUUCGUAUAAAUUUGUGUAGAUGCGUAGAAUGAAAUUUACAGCACGUCGUCAGAAGACGGUUGCAGCUAGUUCUUCUAGCAGCGAGGAGGACGUAUCCUUAGGUGCUGAUCACGACGAGGAAUCUACGCCAACUUGUGAUGCUGCCUCUUCUAGCGCGGUGUCACAGCGCAGAAGCGGUGUGCUUUCACAGUGGGGUCAAUUCACCCGCAAGUACCAGGCACAAUGGAAGGAUGACCUCUCAAUGUAUACUUAUAACAUAAUUUAUGAACAACUAAUUAAUAUUAUUACUUUUAUUUAAUUUCAGGUUCACAAACAUUGAGGCUGCAAGGGCUAUAACAUUGGCGUUUAAAUCGUCGAUGGAGAUUCCAUUGUUUCAAUGGAGCCAGGUUUCCAGACAUCCUGAGUGGAAACCUAAUAUCGAUGCAUGGUUUAAGCGAUUUCAGAACAAAUUUGAGUGGGAUAAGGCGAACAACAAUGUUGUGAGGAGGGUAUGGGAGAAUCACGCGGCAACUAGGUUGCGUGAUUUUUGGUAUGACACCCAAAAACAAUCAAAAAGAAACGCGAGGGAUAACGGUCUUGAAGGAUGGAAUGAGGUGGCGGUUUGACGGGAAUUCAAACCGCCAUUCAUCUCGGGGGAAAUAUGGACAACAUAUAUUGAGCACGUGACCUCAGAGCGGUUCUCACGGCGCUCACAGUUCGGCGCCGACAAUCGGAACCGGCAAAUUCAUGGUUCGGUGACCACGCACACUGGCGGAUCUGUCCCAUUCAGCGCACAUGCAAAGCGGAUGGCUGCGUCUCUUGGACGUGAGCCGAGUCCAAUGGAGCUGUUUGUAGAGACGCAUGUGCGGAGUCAAGACCGCCAAAAGGGGAUGCAGCAGUUUGUGGACAACCGUGCUCAGCACUUUGUGGACAACCGUGCUCAGCACUUUGUGGAGACCUAUAAUAGCCGGUUGAGGGAGAGAUAUGGGUACAAUCCUUCGACCCAUCCAGAUUUCGAUCCAGAUUUGUGGAUGGAGGUGGGAUCGUCUGGUGGACCCGAUAAAAAUCGGGUAUACGAGCUCUCCAACAUUACGACUGAAAACUUGCGUUCGGGUCGUAGUGUCUCAACCGUUGGGAGCUCUCCAUCAGUAUCGAGCACCCAGUCUAAGGAGCUCAUUGCCUUGAAACAACAAUAUCAACAACUCUCGACGAAUUAUAAUGAGCUCCAUCAUAUAGUCAUGGAGAUGAGAUCAAAGAUGGGUGAUGAUACUUGUGCAGGGCCUUUUUGGUCGUACGAUCCCGGGAACAACCAGCCUUCUCCUCCAGCUCCACCGCUAUUCUAGUUUAAUUUUGUUUUUUAAACACAUUAAAUUUGUAAUGAAUAUUUGGAUGAAUAUUAUUUAACAUUAUUUUUAUAUUUUCAAUGUUUAAUCCAAUUUAUUUGUUUAUUA